This 783-nucleotide ribosomal RNA is filed under the name uncultured beta proteobacterium. RNAcentral describes it as "bacterial SSU rRNA". It matches the Rfam family "Bacterial small subunit ribosomal RNA", at positions 612 to 1393 of the family's 1533-position model. The record is from RNAcentral. Lineage: Bacteria; Pseudomonadati; Pseudomonadota; Betaproteobacteria.
ACCUGGGAACUGCGUUUGUGACUGCGAGACUGGAGUGUGGCAGAGGGGGGUGGAAUUCCACGUGUAGCAGUGAAAUGCGUAGAGAUGUGGAGGAACACCGAUGGCGAAGGCAGCCCCCUGGGUUAACACUGACGCUCAUGCACGAAAGCGUGGGGAGCAAACAGGAUUAGAUACCCUGGUAGUCCACGCCCUAAACGAUGCGAACUAGGUGUUGGAGAAGGAGACUUCUUUAGUACCGUAGCUAACGCGUGAAGUUCGCCGCCUGGGGAGUACGGUCGCAAGAUUAAAACUCAAAGGAAUUGACGGGGACCCGCACAAGCGGUGGAUGAUGUGGAUUAAUUCGAUGCAACGCGAAAAACCUUACCUACCCUUGACAUGCCAGGAACCCUGCUGAGAGGUGGGGGUGCUCGAAAGAGAGCCUGGGCACAGGUGCUGCAUGGCUGUCGCCAGCUCGUGUCGUGAGAUGUUGGGUUAAGUCCCGCAACGAGCGCAACCCUUGUCAUUAGUUGCCAUCAUUUAGUUGGGCACUCUAAUGAGACUGCCGGUGACAAGCCGGAGGAAGGUGGGGAUGACGUCAAGUCCUCAUGGCCCUUAUGGGUAGGGCUUCACACGUCAUACAAUGGUCGGUACAGAGGGUUGCCAAGCCGCGAGGUGGAGCCAAUCCCAGAAAGCCGAUCGUAGUCCGGAUCGUAGUCUGCAACUCGACUGCGUGAAGUCGGAAUCGCUAGUAAUCGUGGAUCAGCAUGCCACGGUGAAUACGUUCCCGGGUCUUGUACACACCGC